RNAcentral lists this long non-coding RNA (786 nucleotides) under Coturnix japonica (Japanese quail). RNAcentral describes it as "lncRNA (ENSCJPG00005003796.1)". Lineage: Eukaryota; Metazoa; Chordata; Aves; Galliformes; Phasianidae. The record is from RNAcentral.
UUGCCUUUACUAGUUUGCCAGAUGGAUCUAAUUAUCUUAAAUGCAUAUUAUCUAAUUUAAUUGCAGUGUUGCCAGACAACCAUCUCUCCACAUGUACUUGCAGCAUCUUGUGACAUUCUUCAGAGAUGGACGUAAAUACAAUGAAGGUGUAUGGAAGAGUGCGUUUACUGUUUCUAAGCUGCAUUUGCAAAGAGCAUCUGAAGCCAUUCUUACCCUCCUUAGAAGAAGAGUAGAACAAGCUCAGUUCUCGUGUCUUGUGAACACAGACCUGUAAACUGCACUCUGCUUCUGGGAAGAUGAACUAAAGAAUCAGUGUUUUUUUUUAUAAAGAUAAAAUGUUCUGUCUAUUACAUUCAUCGCUGAUGCAUUUUGUACCAGUAGAAGGAAUCUUUUUGGAUGUGUAUUUUCAUUUGUAGAUUACAGAACAUUAGAGUAGCUAUUAAUCCAUAUAAUUUCCAUCUUUGGGUGUGGAUUUUGGGCUAUAGCAUACAAAUAUUCCUCUAUGUCUACCCAAGUCUUGGUUUUAUUAUGUAAAUUUGUUUGAAGAGGGUUUUACAUUGAACAGAAACAGGUUGGUUCCCAGAAAGACAGUACUUCAAGACUAAAUUUAAUUAACAUGUUAAUGACUCAGAUCAGUUCUUGAAAUCUGCAAAUUCUGAAGAUGGUAGUGGUUCCUCCCUUUGAUUUAUUUCAUGUCCAUGAAAGAGCUGAAAAUGCACUUUUGAAGAAACAUAUUCCAUUAGAGGCAGUUUGAGAGUUGGAAUAAAAACAAACAAAAAAAACCCA